This 142-nucleotide small nuclear RNA is filed under the name Chelonia mydas (Green sea turtle). RNAcentral's name for it is "U4 spliceosomal RNA". It matches the Rfam family "U4 spliceosomal RNA". Rfam says of the family: U4 small nuclear RNA (U4 snRNA) is a component of the major U2-dependent spliceosome. The structure of U4 snRNA from yeast and human has been reported. Lineage: Eukaryota; Metazoa; Chordata; Testudines; Cheloniidae. The record is from Rfam by way of RNAcentral.
UGCUUUGCGCAGUGGCAGUAUCGUAGCCAAUGAGGUUAAUCCGAGGCGUGAUUAUUGCUAAUUGAAAACUUUUCCCAAUACCCCGCCAUGACGACUUGAAAUAUAGUCAGCAUUGGCAAUUUUUGACAGUCUCUACCAAUGA